GUGUGUGUGUGAGAGAGAGAGCGGCAUGUUCCUCUGGUAAGGUGUCGGAUGAGAGAGAGAGAGGGAGAGAGAGAGAGAGAGAGACAGAGACAGAGACAGACAGACAGACAGACAGAGACAGACAGAG
Octopus sinensis (East Asian common octopus) is the source of this 127-nucleotide long non-coding RNA. RefSeq lists it as uncharacterized. The transcript has 3 exons. Lineage: Eukaryota; Metazoa; Mollusca; Cephalopoda; Octopoda; Octopodidae. The record is from RefSeq and is a predicted model, not a curated record.